Bacteroidetes bacterium GWF2_42_66 is the source of this 120-nucleotide non-coding RNA. Lineage: Bacteria; Pseudomonadati; Bacteroidota. The record is from Rfam.
GGGAUUGGCCUUCCGCAGACGACUUUCAGGAGUAGUUUGCAAACUACCUUAUGCUGCGUUGGGCGGAAACUCCCUCGGUGGUGAACGAUAAGGAAAAACGAGGACUUGAUCCUCGAAGGU